CGGGACGGGUGAGUAACACGUAGAGAACCUACCUUACACAGGGGGACAACGGCUGGAAACGGCUGCUAAUACCGCAUAAGCGCCCAGUUUCGCAUGAAACAGAGUGAAAAGAGUAAAUCGGUGUAAGAUGGCUCUGCGUCUGAUUAGCUAGUUGGUGGGGUAAAGGCUCACCAAGGCGACGAUCAGUAGCCGGCCUGAGAGGGCGACCGGCCACAUUGGGACUGAGACACGGCCCAGACUCCUACGGGAGGCAGCAG
This 257-nucleotide ribosomal RNA is filed under the name uncultured bacterium. RNAcentral's name for it is "partial 16S ribosomal RNA". It matches the Rfam family "Bacterial small subunit ribosomal RNA", at positions 98 to 354 of the family's 1533-position model. The record is from RNAcentral.